Molecule: ribosomal RNA, 1452 nt
Filed under: uncultured Bordetella sp.
Lineage: Bacteria; Pseudomonadati; Pseudomonadota; Betaproteobacteria; Burkholderiales; Alcaligenaceae
Description: partial 16S-23S ribosomal RNA intergenic spacer
Rfam family: Bacterial small subunit ribosomal RNA
Source: RNAcentral
GGUUUGAUCAUGGCUCAGAUUGAACGCUGGCGGGAUGCUUUUACACAUGCAAGCCGAACGGCAGCACGGACUUCGGUCUGGUGGCGAGUGGCGAACGGGUGAGUAAUGUAUCGGAACGCCUAGUAGCGGGGGAUAACUACGCGAAAGCGUAGCUAAUACCGCAUACACCUUCGGGGGAAAGCGGGGACCUCGGGCCUUCACCAUUAGAGCGGCCGAUACUGAUUAGCGAAGGUGCGGCACCGGCUCACCAAGGCGACGAUCCGUGGUUGUUCGAGGACGACCAGCCACAUCCGGGACUGAGACACGGCCCAGACUCCCUACGGGAGGCAGGAAUUUUGGAUACCGGGGAAACUCUGAUCCAGCCAUCCCGCGUGUGCGAUGAAGGCCUUCGGGUUGUAAAGCACUUUUGGCAGGAAAGAAACGGGCACGGAUAAUACCCCAACUGACGGUACCUGCAGAAUAAGCACCGGCUAACUACGUGCCAGUAGCCGCGGUAAUACGUAGGGUGCAAGUAUCAAUCGGAAUUUACCGGGCGUAAAGCGUGCGCAGGCGGUUCGGAAAGAAAGAUGAAAUCCCAGAGCUUAACUUUGGAACUGCAUUUUGAACGUCGAGCUAGAGUGUGUCAGAGGGAGGUGGAAUUGGCGUGUAGUGAAAUGCGUAGAUAUGCGGAGGAACACCGAUGGCGAAGGCAGCCUCCUGGGAUAACACUGACGCUCAUGCACGAAAGCGUGGGGAGCAAACAGGAUUAGAUACCCUGGUAGUCCACGCCCUAAACGGCGUCAACUAGCUGUUGAAGGCCUCGGUUUUGUAGCAGCUAACGCGUGCUUUUGACCGCCUGGGGAGUACGGUCGCAAGAUUAAAACUCAAAGGAAUUGACGGGGACUCCGCACAAGCGGUGGAUGAUGUGGAUUAAUUCGAUGCAACGCGAAAAACCUUACCUACCCUUGACAUGUCUGAAUCCCGAAGAGAUUUGGGAGUGCUCGCAAGAGAACCGGAACACAGGUGCUGCAUGGCUGUCGUCAGCUCGUGUCGUGAGAUGUUGGGUUAAGUCCCGCAACGAGCGCAACCCUUGUCAUUAGUUGCUACGAAAGGGCACUCUAAUGAGACUGCCGGUGACAAACCGGAGGAAGGUGGGGAUGACGUCAAGUCCUCAUGGCCCUUAUGGGUAGGCUUCGACGUCAUACAAUGGUCGGGACAGAGGGUCGCCAACCCGCGAGGGGGAGCCAAUCCCAGAAACCCGAUCGCAGUCCGGAUCGCAGUCUGCAACUCGACUGCGUGAAGUCGGAAUCGCUAGUAAUCGCGGAUCAGCAAUAGUCGCGGUGAAUACGCCCGGGUCUUGUACACACCGCCCGUCACACCAUGGGAGUGGGUUUUACCAGAAGUGAAGUUAGCUCUAACCGCGAGGGCGAUUACCACGGUAGGAUUCAUGACUGGGGUGAAGUCGUAUCGCAG